AACGAACGCUGGCGGCAUGCCUAACACAUGCAAGUCGAACGAGAUCUUCGGGUCUAGUGGCGCACGGGUGCGUAACGCGUGGGAAUCUGCCCUUUGGUUCGGAAUAACAGUUGGAAACGACUGCUAAUACCGUAUAUUCCCUGAGGGGGAAAGAUUUAUCGCUAUAGGAUGAGCCCGCGUUAGAUUAGGUAGUUGGUGGGGUAAAGGCCUACCAAGCCUGCGAUCUAUAGCUGGUCUGAGAGGAUGAUCAGCCACACUGGGACUGAGACACGGCCCAGACUCCUACGGGAGGCAGCAGUGGGGAAUAUUGGACAAUGGGCGAAAGCCUGAUCCAGCAAUGCCGCGUGAGUGAAGAAGGCCUUAGGGUUGUAAAGCUCUUUCAGUAGGGAAGAUAAUGACGGUACCUACAGAAGAAGCCCCGGCUAACUUCGUGCCAGCCGCCGCGGUAA
RNAcentral lists this ribosomal RNA (449 nucleotides) under uncultured bacterium. Its description in RNAcentral is "partial 16S ribosomal RNA". It matches the Rfam family "Bacterial small subunit ribosomal RNA", at positions 29 to 523 of the family's 1533-position model. The record is from RNAcentral.